Long non-coding RNA from Erinaceus europaeus (western European hedgehog), 520 nucleotides. RefSeq lists it as uncharacterized. NCBI's taxonomy places the organism in Eukaryota, Metazoa, Chordata, Mammalia, Eulipotyphla, Erinaceidae. The transcript has 3 exons. The record is from RefSeq and is a predicted model, not a curated record.
CUGUCCAGGAGGAGGAAGCCAGGGCAGACCUUCUGUGCCCCCCCUUCUGCAGUCGCAUGGGGUGACAAAUACGCGUCCCAGGGCAGGUCUCCUGGCUCUCACACAGGCAGACACAGGGUAGCAGCAGCUCGCAUGAAGCGUGACUGUGCCUUUCUGUGUCUGCGUGGUUUCCUGUUGCGUCUACUCCCUCCACCCCCCAAAAUCAUCUGGAGAGCAGAACUGAGUGGGGAACCAAGGGGGAAGGAUCCAGCACAGACCACACUCUCCCAAAGCAUCAGGACUUCUGCUGGCUGGUAUCCAUUGCACCUUUAUUUCACCCUUUCAAUAGCUCAGAGCCAGGCUGUGACUCCCCUCUCAUAAGACAGCAAACUGAGACAUGGAGAGGUGACAGGUGACCAGGUCUGGGAACAAUAACGUCUGUGCCUGGAGCUGCCCACUGUGACUCCCAGAAUCCUUGCUCGAAUGCUCACAGCAGUGCACCCCCACCCCAUCUGACUCUGGCCCACACCUGACCCACGUG